Unclassified non-coding RNA from Erinaceus europaeus (western European hedgehog), 325 nucleotides. Its record names the gene 7SK. It matches the Rfam family "7SK RNA". Rfam says of the family: 7SK was discovered as an abundant small nuclear RNA in the mid-70s but a possible function has only recently been suggested. NCBI's taxonomy places the organism in Eukaryota, Metazoa, Chordata, Mammalia, Eulipotyphla, Erinaceidae. The record is from Ensembl.
GGAUGUGAGGGCGAUCUGACUGCGACAUCUGUCACCUCACUGAUCGCUAGGGUUGAUUCAGCUGAUCUGGCUGGCUAGGCAGGUGUCCCCUUCCUCCCUCACUGCUCCAUGUGCAUCCCUCCCGAAGCUGCAUGCUCAGUCGAAGAGAGAGAGAGUCCGUGAAUAGAGAUGGACUGGUCCUCGGUAGGUCGAGGGUAUACGAGUAGCUGCGCCCCCUUGCUAGAACCUCCAAACAAGCUCUCAAGAGUUGGAAAGUGAGUCCCAUUCAGGAUAUCAUUGUCUUCCCUCUGUCUUCCAUGGACAUUCCUUUACUGAAGACUCUGUG